CCCGAGAGUGGCGAGGCUGGCCAGCCCGGAGCAGAGCCUUCCCGGGGCAGCUAGGGGCACGUCUGCAGGGCGGGGGACACGGGGUGCCCAGAGCCGGAGCCGGGCCGUGCGGCGACCUCUGCCUCGUUCUCUGCCGCUGCCCAGCAGCAGCACACACGCUGGUCUGUGUGCCAAGGGGCGCCUGACGCCACAGCUUCGGACCGCGACGCUCGGCCUGCGCUUCAGGCUCCCAUUGACGUUAUCAGUGAAACAAGCCAGACACAAAAUAAAAAUGCUGAAGGAUUCCACCGCUGCGAGGUCCCUGGAGUCAAGCUCACAGAGGCAGAGGGGUUUGCUGUGCUGGUUACCGUUUUCCUGGAGAACUGGAGCCUGAAUUCGCAUCUCUUGGAAUUUAGAAACGUCUGUCCCACCUCACUCCAGAUGGUAAUCGGCCGUGAGUCCCUGCGGUAAGGUGCUUGCCCACAGCUCGAGGCCCUGCCCUUCAGGAGGCAGCCUGGGGGGCACAGACAGUGAAGGUUUGGGCUCCGAUCCUAACGCUGCUGCCUGCGGGCUGUGUGAUCUUAAGUGAGUGUCCGAACCUCCCUGAGCCUUAGCUCCCUCUGCUGUAAAGUGGAGGCGCUAAAGGUUCCUACCUCACGGAACUAGCAAGACACUUAAUUGGCGUCAAGCACAUCAGGGGGGCUUCCCAGGCGCACUGGUGGUAAAGGACCUGCCCGCCGGGCCGGAGGCGAAAGGGAGGUGGGUUGGACCCCAAGACCGGGAAGGUCCCCUGGAGGAGGGCCUGGUAACCCAGUCCAGUGUUCUUGCCUGGAGAAUCCCAUGGACAGAGGAACCUGGCAGGUACAGCCCACAGGGUUGCUCAGGGUCAGACACGACUGAACCGACUUAGCGCACGAGCUUGUCAUCUGUCCUUGAGCCUCUUUGCUGUUGUUAUUUAGCAGAAGGUGAAGCAAUCUUUGCUCCAGGGAGCCUUCCCUGACUGCCUCCGCCAUUGUCCAGGCUGGGUUAGGCUCUUCUCUGGGCUUCCCAGGCUCCUUGGGGACACCCUGUCGUGACGUCGUAUCCAGAAGCCGUCGAGGGGAGCGGCUGCUGAAGGCAGUUGCUCACGGGGGUCCCCCUGGGUUGGCGCUGAGGUGGCCAGCAGCCUUGGUGCUGAGCAGAGGGGCCAUGUCCCACUGCCCCGUGGUGAGCAGGCCCCGGCCCACUGCCCACGGCCCACUGCCCUGCGGCGGGCAGGCGUGUGCUGAGGGGCAGUGGGACGAUCGCAGGGACUCCAUACCAGGACCCCCGCCCCAGCUGAGGACACAGGACCCGAGGGCCUUCUGCAAGUAGCCGCACACUGCUGGGCCCGGGACCACAGUGGCCCAGGGUGUGGGGACUGCCUGCUGUCCCUUCAGGUCUGGGAGGAAGCUCAGGACCCCUCGGCUCAGGCGGGCGCAGCCCCCCUCCCCCACCCCCGCCCCCCGCCUGCCGCUGAGCAUCCUGCAGCCUGACCUUCAAGUUGGGCUUCACUGUUUUCAGAUCAUCUGCUUGGCUGUCACCUGCUCGGGUCUUCCCAGGACGAACCCAAGGGGGUCGUGGCUGUAUCAGUACCCCUCAUGACAGAGAACAAGAAACUAGCUCCGGGGAGUGAGCAGAGACAGGGCAAACCUCGACAGUUCCUUCCAUGUGAGGGCCCUGGACGAGCCACUUAGCAGGACAGAAAGCGGGACGGGGUCCCGGGCGGGGGUGUCUGCUGGGGCAGAGCUUCAGCUUAGGAGAGGAGCUGCCCUGGAGAUGGCGGCGGCUGUGGCUGGAGCACAGUGUGAGCACACGUAACGCCGCUACAGUGGUGAAAACGGGGAACUUCGUGCCGUGUGUGUGUGUGUGUGUGUGCGCGCUAAGCCGCUUCAGUCGUGUCCCUGUUGACCCCAUGAACUGGAGACCAGCAGGCUCCUCUGUCCAUGGGAUUCUUUAGGCAAGAGUGAGUUGCCACGCCCUCCUCCAGGGGAGCUUCCUGACCCAGGGAUCGAACCUGUGUCUCUUGCGGCUCCUGCAUUGCAGGCAGUCUUUGCCGUUAAGCCACUGGGGAAGCACUAUGCUGUGUAUAUUGUACCACAAUUUGAGAAAAUUUAAAACUAGUGACUAAUAUGUAAUAAUGAUAUAUUAACGUAGUGUGCUAUGGAUAGGAACAUGUCAUCGCAUAUGAGUAUAUAAUGUAUCCCUAACCCACACCCCAAGGGGUCCAGGGAACUCUGAGUUCAGCUGUGAACUCUCCUCUGCUUGGAUGGUCCAAGGCUUCUCAGGCAGAGCACCCUCGAAGCCCCUGGGGCCCCGGGUGCUGGGCUCCCAGCUGUCUCUGGCUCCAGGCUUCCAGCGGCCUGUGUGCUCUGCCCCCAGCCCUCGUUAGCGUCUGCUGCAGGGGGUCUGGGCACAUUCCUCUGGCCCAGGGUCUGUCCUCCCGCUGGGAUGGGGGCAGGGGCAGACAGGACCACGGAGGCCUCAGCGUCGUUGCCCACAGCAGCGGGGUUGAGUUUCCCGGGCAUGUUACUCGCAGUGGCCCCACCAGGUGGUGGGGGUGGUCCCACCUUCCCUACGAGUCCACUGAGGCCCUUUCAGAUGCCCCCAGUCCCCUGCCCUCUACCUCGUCCCGUGGGGAAACAAACCGAUGGCCCCUCCUCUCCACUGAGCAGCCCCAGGGCCACCUCCGGCCAGUGACUUAGCACCUGCCCCAGGGACAGCCCCAGGGGAGGGCAAGGGGAUCCGUGGGGCAAUGGGGCCCCCGAGGCUCGUGUGGAGCCCCUUGGAGGGGCGGUCCCCAGCCCUAGCGAGGGCCGAGCGGAGACCAGGGCGCCUUUGUCCUCCACCCGCCCCUUGCCCUCUGUUUACAUCCUUCCUUCCCGUAAGUGCUGGGCCCUGGCCCACUGGCGGAGAGCCAGGCGCACCUGUAGGACAGGUUGGGCAGAGAUCUAGGGGUGUGGGCGCGGGACUGGAGGUGACUCAGGCCUCCGCUCCUCCCAGGCUGCCCUGGGCCAGGGAUUCUGGAUCCCAGAGGAUGAGAUGCUUCCUGGGGGCUGUGUGGGCCGGAAAGUGAGGAGGGCGCGGACCGUCCCCCGUCCUCAGUGGGUGUUUCCCGGGGAACCGAGGUCAGGGAGACACAACGUUGGGUGGGGGUGGGAGCCCCUCACCCAACGCAAGGCCCGCGGGCCAGGAGCCCUGGGCCAGGUGAGGGGUGGGCGGGCGCGGGGGCCUCUCCAGGGGACCUGCAAGGAGACACUCGUCCCGGGAAGGAGACUCGGGGCGACCCCAGGGGUUGCGUCUGGCUGUGGGCGAGGGCCAGGCCCUCGGGAGCCGUGACUCACUCAGGAGGGAGGCCUUGUCCUCCGAGACUGAAGCCUCAGGGGGAUGGCUCUCUGCCCGACCUCCGUCUCCCGGGCGACCCCCAGACAGCCUCGGGGCUGGCUCACAGCCCCGAUCUGUAGCCCAGCCCCCUGCGGCCCUGACUCUGCCCGACCCGGCUCCCCAUGGCUCCUUCUCUCUCUGCCCCUCGGCUUCUUCGUCUGUCGGAAUAGAUGGCCCUGGAACCGGCAGAAGGGAGGGGAGCGGUGCUUUGCGCGUUAGCUCGUCCAGCUCUGCCACCGCUGCCCCCUCACACCCACACCCGAGUCCCGCUGUCCUGUCUGCACCUCUGAGGGGGCUGAGGACCCUUGCGGUCAACAAGUCCCCUCAGGUGAGUCAGCAAGUCCGCUCAGGUGAAGAGUUGAAUAGCCUCUUCAACUAUUUGUGCUAAAGGACCAGUUUGGUUUUGCUUGACUUUGUUUUGAUUUGAUUUUCCAAUCUAAUGCUUUUGCAAAACAAUAAAAAUGAAAGACUAGAGAAAUGAGAGGGAAGUGACCUGCGGCUCGCUUCGGUCAGCGCGCUGUUCUAGCGGCUGUUGCCUGUGUUCCCAUCAGCAGUGAGAAGGUUGUUCUUUUUUUUGUCUGCUCCCCCUCCGGAGAGAAAGUUACUUGUCAAACUGCUGUAAAAGUUUCUAAACAGGGGCCCACACUGGUCUCUGGACCACAUCCCAGGCUGCAGGAGGAGGGUGAGCCUGGAGACCCUGCUCAGGGCAGUGUCCUGAGGUCUGGCUCACCGCGGGGAGGCCGGGCUGCCCGGCCCCUGCACCUGGGGAGGGGCUUGGCCGUGGGCAGAGGGCUGGGGUGCUAAAGCACCGGUAUCACCUGGACUUUAAAACUCUUCAGUCUCUGGGGCACGGUGGGCGGGGGCCAGGUGGUCAGGCCGCCCCUGGGGUGCAGCUGUGGACUCCGCUGCCCACGGCCCUCUGGCAGGGAGGACCCCGCUUCGGCUCUGGAGGAGCCCCGUCAAGAGCAGGUGGGCGGGGGCCUCACCCAGGGAGCCUGGGGACGGUGGGGAAGGCCUUCCGCUUCUCUGAACGCAGCUUGGGCAGCGCAAAGGGUGUGCCUUCUUGCUCACUGACGUUCAAGAGAUAUUUUUUAAAAAGCAGCCAGAAACAGGCAUGUGCAGGAGAAUGCUUUAUAAACAUGGAAACCACCCAAGUGUUGAGGCAAGUGGUUUGUUUCUCGCAGCGGCAGAGACGCCUGGGAGAGCCGACAGGCCCGGGGAGCCCGCAGUCACCUCCUCAGCGCGUUUGAUCAUUCGGUCUUUACUGCUGGUAUACGCGCCCUACUGGGGUUCUGGUGAGGAAGCCAAAGCAGUGACCUGCAGGCCCCACCGUCAGGAGGUCCCCGGGCGCUGGGUGCUCCCCCAGAGCUUGGUGGGGUGACAUGGGCAGCCCCCAAGGCUUCCUGGAAGAGGUGGUCUCCCUGGGGGAACGUCAGGUGAAUCACGAGGCCUCCUCUCCCUGGACUAUCACGCGGGUGGUACCCGAGCUGGAUGGAGCGCCUGAUGGUAACCCACAGGCUGCCCGAGAUGCAGGGUUGGGAGGAAAGGUCAGAACAAGCUGGUCGCAGCAGUCACUCUAUGACGCGGUGCCGUUUGCGCAGGAUUUAUCCGCUGGUUCUUGGCUGUGUCAGAGUCGCCUGAUGCUGGGGGGUCUGCUCAAGCCCAAGCUUCCCCGCCCCUCAUCACAGUUCUGUCCUGAGCUAACCCCGAGCAGAGGAAGCUUCCCUCCAGACCCUCUGAUGUGAGCUGGGUGCCUGAGGGACCGAGUCACGUCUCCAGAUCUUCUUAUCUCAGCAGAGGCGGUGAGGGCCGUCCAGCCCCACGCGGGCGCUGAGCAGCGUGUGGGGCACCCUCGCCAGGGGGCUAACGGCCGUUGCCUCCAGGGGCGAGCUUUGAGAUGACUGCUCGCGUCUCUUUACUCUCUGGGCACAAUCUGAAACGUGGAGCGGCCACCUACUACUUUGUAAAAGCAGCAGUUUCACUGGGAUCGAUGCCCACGGCUCGAAACACAGCCCUUUACACGGGGCAGAGCGGCGUGCUUCAGUAACCUUACACGAUUAUGCAGCCAUCCCCAAAUCUAGUUUCAGGACAUUUUAUCCCCAAAGGAGUCUGGUGCCACCAGCAGCCACGCCCCCCGCAGCCCCCAGGACCGCCCAUCUGCCCUCUGUCUGCGUGAAUCUGCCUGUUCUGGACACUUCCUCAAUGCGGCCUUCACGACUGGCUUCAGCAUCGUCUUUCCAAGGUUCAUCCAACUAGUACAUACUUCAUUCCUUUUUAUUUCCUGAUAUAUUUUGUCGUAUUCCUAUUGUAUUAUUUAUUGAAAUAUCGAGUAAUAAUGUCGACCGUC
Bubalus bubalis (water buffalo) is the source of this 5728-nucleotide long non-coding RNA. RefSeq lists it as uncharacterized. Lineage: Eukaryota; Metazoa; Chordata; Mammalia; Artiodactyla; Bovidae. The transcript is spliced from 3 exons. The record is from RefSeq and is a predicted model, not a curated record.